RNAcentral lists this ribosomal RNA (495 nucleotides) under uncultured bacterium. RNAcentral's name for it is "partial 16S ribosomal RNA". It matches the Rfam family "Bacterial small subunit ribosomal RNA", at positions 28 to 507 of the family's 1533-position model. The record is from RNAcentral.
GAUGAACGCUGGCGGCGUGCCUAAUACAUGCAAGUAGAACGCUGAAGGAGGAGCUUGCUCUUCUGGAUGAGUUGCGAACGGGUGAGUAACGCGUAGGUAACCUGCCUGGUAGCGGGGGAUAACUAUUGGAAACGAUAGCUAAUACCGCAUGACAACAGUUAUUGCAUGAUAACUGUUUAAAAGGGGCAACUGCUCCACUACCAGAUGGACCUGCGUUGUAUUAGCUAGUUGGUGAGGUGACGGCUCACCAAGGCGACGAUACAUAGCCGACCUGAGAGGGUGAUCGGCCACACUGGGACUGAGACACGGCCCAGACUCCUACGGGAGGCAGCAGUAGGGAAUCUUCGGCAAUGGACGGAAGUCUGACCGAGCAACGCCGCGUGAGUGAAGAAGGUUGUCGGAUCGUAAAGCUCUGUUGUAAGAGAAGAACGAGUGUGAGAGUGGAAAGUUCACACUGUGACGGUAUCUUACCAGAAAGGGACGGCUAACUACGUG